This 22-nucleotide non-coding RNA is filed under the name Arabidopsis thaliana (thale cress). Lineage: Eukaryota; Viridiplantae; Streptophyta; Magnoliopsida; Brassicales; Brassicaceae. The record is from RNAcentral.
ACGGUCUUGUUGUAUCACACCG